RNAcentral lists this microRNA precursor (88 nucleotides) under Ailuropoda melanoleuca (giant panda). RNAcentral's name for it is "mir-544 microRNA precursor family". It matches the Rfam family "mir-544 microRNA precursor family". The record is from Rfam by way of RNAcentral. Lineage: Eukaryota; Metazoa; Chordata; Mammalia; Carnivora; Ursidae.
AACACCCAGGGAUCUUGUAAAAAUGCAGAUUCUGAUUAAGAGCAGGGCCUAUAUUCUGCAUUUCUAACAAGUUCCCAAGUGAUGCCAA